Molecule: non-coding RNA, 437 nt
Filed under: Pan troglodytes (chimpanzee)
Lineage: Eukaryota; Metazoa; Chordata; Mammalia; Primates; Hominidae
Source: RNAcentral
CUUGGGCUGAACCGACAGCUGGGGGACCCCACAGCACCGUGACCUGCCCAAAGCCUGGCAGAGCAGAGCAGCCCCUGCCGCCUGCACGCCGGACGCCAGGACCCACUUACCAUACACACCCACCGUGAACUCGAACUGAUCUGGAACUUUCCAGCUGGGAGGUUUGAUGGAGGGAACUUCCACACCCAGCCCCUGGGAAGAGCUCUUUGAGUCUGAAGAGAAGGCAGAGGAGAAGUUGGUUUGCUGAAGUCCAGAAGAGGCUCUGAGGUAGAGAUGGGGUUUCGCCAUGUUGGCCAGGCUUAUCAGGAACUCCUGACCUCAAGUGAUCUGCCCGCCUCAGCCUCCCAGUGUUGGGAUUACAGGCGUGAGCCACCAUGCCCGGACUAAUACUGGACACUCCCUCAUGGAAUCCAGCCGCCACACUGCGAGGAUCAGCA